CCUACGGGAGGCAGCAGUAGGGAAUAUUGCUCAAUGGGGGAAACCCUGAAGCAGCAACGCCGCGUGGAGGAUGAAGGUUUUCGGAUUGUAAACUCCUUUUGUUAGAGAAGAUAAUGACGGUAUCUAAAGAAUAAGCACCGGCUAACUCCGUGCCAGCAGCCGCGGGAAUACGGAGGGUGCAAGCGUUACUCGGAAUCACUGGGCGUAAAGAGCGCGUAGGCGGGAUAGCAAGUCAGAUGUGAAAUCCUAUGGCUCAACCAUAGAACUGCAUUUGAAACUGUUAUUCUAGAGUAUGGGAGAGGUAGGUGGAAUUCUUGGUGUAGGGGUAAAAUCCGUAGAGAUUAAGAGGAAUACUCAUGGCGAAGGCGACCUGCUAGAACAUAACUGACGCUGAUGCGCGAAAGCGUGGGGAGCAAACAGGAUUAGAUACCCCUGUAGUC
RNAcentral lists this ribosomal RNA (440 nucleotides) under uncultured bacterium. Its description in RNAcentral is "partial 16S ribosomal RNA". It matches the Rfam family "Bacterial small subunit ribosomal RNA", at positions 338 to 795 of the family's 1533-position model. The record is from RNAcentral.